This is a long non-coding RNA of Rhea pennata, 3270 nucleotides long. RefSeq lists it as uncharacterized. The transcript is spliced from 9 exons. The record is from RefSeq and is a predicted model, not a curated record. Lineage: Eukaryota; Metazoa; Chordata; Aves; Rheiformes; Rheidae.
GCCUGGCCGGCGCGGCGCCCGGAGGAGACGCGGGCGGAGGCGGAGACAUGGCGCUGGGCAUACCCAGUGCUUUGAGAACUACAGAGUUGGGCAAAGUUCCUGUCCUGUGGAGAUUCCAAUUGGAAAAAUCCUCUACACACAACCGAGGCUGGCAGAAUAGCAGUUGAUCCACAGUGGGAGCCCAGAGAAUGAAGUGGGUUUGAAGGUCUUAACUAGAUGAGCCAGCUACUCUUGGAUCUCAGAGUCCUCUAAUGAUCUUGCAGUGAUACUAGAUCCCACUGGAUGAAGUCAGGAGAUCUAGGUUCACCUCUUGGCCUGACUACAAAUCCUUGUAUGUCCUUGGAUAGCUAAUUGGCAGACAGAGGCCUCGAGGGUUUUGGUUUGGUGCCAUCAGACUCCAACUGAUUGCAGCAGUGGUGUUCUUCCCCAGACAAUGACUUCAGUAGCUUCAGGGCAGCACUGAGCCUCCUAACAAACAGCUCUCCCUGAAGUAAUUGUGCUGGCUUGAAGAUGCAGGACACGAUGUCAGCAACUCUGCAACCAACAGCUUUUACUUUCUCUACAAUGUUUAUUUGAGUCACGGUCUUCCACUCGCCCAGAUUCCUCUCUAAAGAAGCCUGCCCAGUCCUGCAUAUUGUGUACCAGACAGUCAUUCAGACCACUGAGACAAAUACGUAGGCAAAUCCACCUGAUAGCCAGUGGCUGCUUUCGACCAGGGCUGAACAUGCAAUGCCAAAACAAGGAGAAGACAGGAUGCUUUGGGAGGCAAAUACACAGUAUUUCCUCCCCACUGACCUUCAUUAGACUCUGCCACCACCUAAGCUGAGUCCCUAACAAUCACUGCGGGUAUAAUUUUAGAAAGAACUGGAAAAAGGGAAACCUUUCCUGUAACUUUCAGUUGGCAGAGUACAUCACUGUGUUUCUGCCUGCUGGCUCUUGACUUGUAUCCCACAUGCCUUGGAAAGCAGAGAAAGGAAAACAGAAGAGGAGCAAGUGAAGGAAAAGGAGGCCAACAGCUGAGGACUCCGUUCCCCAAAUCUGCUGGUGAUGAGAAGAAUCAGCUGCUGUAGCAGUUCACAGCAUUGAAGGGUUGCUCUGAUCUCUUUUCUGGAACAACAGUUUGCUUGCUAAGAGGUGAGCACAGGAGACUUAAUGGAAAGAAGUGAGCUCUGAUCUUCUGUCCAGUAUCAUCAGACACUGCUUCUGCUGUCAUUUCCCCUACCUUGCACAUGAGACGUGAGGGGCUGAACACACGGUAGAAAGAGCCUGAACAGAUCAGGCAAAGUAGCACAUCCUCCAGUUGCUCAAAGGAACAUAGAACAUAGACUAGGGCAUAGAACAUAGGCUAUGAAUUUGAGGAAAGACUCUCUUAAAAGAGAGAAGUUGAGGGGAAACAAGGAUAGCAGGCAGCCUGGUAGAUUGGAUAACAAGGAAUUUUGCAAGCAGACAACUUGUGCUAAGUAAGGUGGCUGGUAGGGGGAUGAAUGCAAAGCUGGAAAUUCAGAAAGAGAUGUAUACACAGCAUUUAGUUCUUUUGUGAUUUAAUCCAAAAUCAUUUACUGUUCGCCAUUUUUCAUAAUGUCCUAGUUCUCAUGUCAUAUGAUUAUGUGAGGCUUUCAACCUUCAAUUGAAAAUGCUUCUACUGGUUCUUCAGGCCACAGAGAAAAGCUUGCAAAAGACAACCCCACUGGAAAGACUGAAAGCCCAGCAUGCAGACUGAAUCUCUUUGACAUAAUGCAUUGGCUUCCUAUUGAUGUUUGUCAGGUUGUUUUUUGAAGUCAGCAAGACCCAGUCAGAGCUGCAGCAAGUAUUUGGGUUUUUAGGCCACAUAUUUUACCCGAAAUGUGGUAAAUCUGUGGGAGGAUGAGGGAACAGCCCAGAAAUGGCAUCAUUUUGACACAUGGAAGACAGCAAUUCAGAUAUUUCACAGCAUGUGUCCCAAGUGACUGGGAUUCGUCCAUGGAGGACAAGAGGAGGAGAAAAACAGCAGCACUGAGAAAGGUUAUUCCAGUCUCUAAUAUGGCUCCGCAGACCAGGAAGGACAGGCAGUUCCGUCUGGUCCUCCAGUGUUCUUUCUGUGGCUCACUACGGUCUCCACCUCGACUCACUGCAUGGGAUCCCUAACUGGAAAUGUUCUUUCUAAUCCAGUCGUUCCUUACUGCUGUGAACCAUACUGGUUAUGUGAAAGAAGUCAGGUUUGUGCCUCCGUGUUGUUUGAAAUGCAAUGCAUUUUGAAUUACUCACACAUGGAAGUAGUAGGCAGUAUAAUGCAAGCAUAGAGCAAGCACAAUGUACUACGUGAGGAUCAGCUUAACAUGUUGGAUCAGUGACACUGCAGCAUAACACAAACCAUUUAUUCCUUUUCACAGCUGUUCUCUCAAGCAUUUUAAGCAUACAUUCUCCCUCAGCAUGCAGGAGAUUUACAUAUUUUACUUCCAUUGACAUGGUAGGAGAGACCCUCCUCACUUCCAGAUUUGUUCUUUUAAUAGGCAUCCAGCACAAAUGUGAAUUAAGUACAUGUGUAUCCAACAGAGUGUAGACCAGAACCAGCUGUAAGCACAAAUAACUUCUUAGGAGGCCUGUUUUUUUUUGUGCUGAUUUGGUAACUCACAGGAUGGCCAAAUCUUCCUUUUUAGGAAUGAGAAGAAGAGGAAAGGAGGAGGACCUUAUCUCCAGAUUGUAUCACCCGUGGAAGAGAAAAGUCAACAGGGACAGAAUGCUUCACAUGAGGUUCUCCUCUCCCCUCUGGAGCAGCUGGAGCAAAUAAGGUUCAUCAUGGGCAAAUGAGAGCUCAUUUUGUGUCUGCUUAGAGCUGGCAGAGAAGUUUGGGUGUUUCAGGCCCCAAACCAAGUGUGAUAACUUGGUCGUGUGACUUAGCGAUUAAAGUUGGAUUCUUCAAGGUACUGAAUGCCUGUGGCAUAAAGAUGCUUGUGUCAGUCUUGGUUAUCUUACACUCAAAACUCUUUCAAAUCAUAAAUCUAAGUCAAAUGUAUUGCAAAUGGUGGAAGGACAAUGUGGAUUUUGGGAGGGAUGAGAGAGACAGUUAAGGCUCUGUACAUGUUGCUAUCAAGAAAAGCAGAGGUGAGCCUUCAGCACUGUAUAAUGAUAAUAUGCUUUAGCAAUGUCCUUCUAGAACUAGCUGUGCAAAAAGUUAAAUCUUGAAAGACAAAAUAAAACAAUAUUAGGAAAAAAGAAGUGGCAAUGACUUGAGCCCUUAAUUCAAUGCCAACGGCAUUUCAGUGCAAGCCGUUUCCCAGAGGAUUAUCAAGA